AUGACUGACAACUAUGUUGAUUUCAUUCGGUCUCAUGCAGAUGAUCUCAGUACAGCCGAUCAUCACUAUCGGUAUGAUAUUUUUACAGUUGCAGUUGACCAACAACUACAUGAACUAAACUGCAGGUUCAGCGAACAAGCAACAGAGAUUCUCAUCCUCUGCAAUUCUUUGAAUCCCAAGGACUCAUUUAGUUCAUUGAACAUUGAUGAUGUAUGUUCUCUCGCCUCAAAAUACUACCCCGCUGACUUUUCAGAACAGGAAAGAAACAAUUUGAGAUGUCAACUACAACAUUAUGAGCUUGAUGUACCUACAAAUCCAAGGUUUCAGAAUCUGUCAAGUGUAGGAGAUCUUUGUCAACAACUUGCAAAAACAGGAAAAUCAGUGGAUUAUUAUUUGAUUGACAGGUUAAUUCGACUUGUUCUCACUUUGCCUGUCUCAACCGCAACAACAAAACGUGCAUUUUCGGCAAUGAAAGUUGUUAAAAGAAGACUCCGAAUAAAAUGGAAGACAUGUUUCUAA
RNAcentral lists this ribosomal RNA (519 nucleotides) under Triticum aestivum (bread wheat). Its description in RNAcentral is "partial small subunit ribosomal RNA". The record is from RNAcentral. Lineage: Eukaryota; Viridiplantae; Streptophyta; Magnoliopsida; Poales; Poaceae.